RNAcentral lists this ribosomal RNA (429 nucleotides) under Acidobacteriota bacterium. Its description in RNAcentral is "Acidobacteria bacterium partial 16S ribosomal RNA". It matches the Rfam family "Bacterial small subunit ribosomal RNA", at positions 355 to 776 of the family's 1533-position model. The record is from RNAcentral. Lineage: Bacteria; Pseudomonadati; Acidobacteriota.
UGGGGAAUUUUGGACAAUGGGGGAAACCCUGAUCCAGCCAUCCCGCGUGUGCGAUGAAGGCCUUCGGGUUGUAAAGCACUUUUGGCAGGAAAGAAACGUCAUGGGUUAAUACCCCGUGAAACUGACGGUACCUGCAGAAUAAGCACCGGCUAACUACGUGCCAGCAGCCGCGGUAAUACGUAGGGUGCAAGCGUUAAUCGGAAUUACUGGGCGUAAAGCGUGCGCAGGCGGUUCGGAAAGAAAGAUGUGAAAUCCCAGAGCUCAACUUUGGAACUGCAUUUUUAACUACCGGGCUAGAGUGUGUCAGAGGGAGGUGGAAUUCCGCGUGUAGCAGUGAAAUGCGUAGAUAUGCGGAGGAACACCGAUGGCGAAGGCAGCCUCCUGGGAUAACACGGACGCUCAUGCACGAAAGCGUGGGGAGCAAACAGG